RNAcentral lists this ribosomal RNA (494 nucleotides) under Leposternon microcephalum (smallhead worm lizard). RNAcentral describes it as "partial 16S ribosomal RNA". It matches the Rfam family "Bacterial large subunit ribosomal RNA", at positions 1857 to 2619 of the family's 2925-position model. The record is from RNAcentral. Lineage: Eukaryota; Metazoa; Chordata; Lepidosauria; Squamata; Amphisbaenidae.
GCCUGCCCAGUGAACACAUUAAACGGCCGCGGUAUCCUAACCGUGCAAAGGUAGCACAAUCACUUGUUCUUUAAAUGAGGACCAGUAUGAAUGGCAUCAUGAGGAUCAACUUGUCUCUCAAAAUAAGUCAAUGAAACUGCUCUCCCAGUACAAAAGCUGAGAUAGACCCACAAGACGAGAAGACCCUGUGGAGCUUCAAACUACAACCCACACCACAUGGCACUGCAGUUUUUAGUUGGGGCGACUUUGGAGAAAAAAGAAACCUCCAAAUUAUUUUUAGGCUGACAGGCCUAAAUCUUUACACAAUUGACCCAAUAUAUUUGCUCAAUGAACCAAGUUACCCCAGGGAUAACAGCGCAAUCUUCUCCUAGAGUUCCUAUCGACAAGAAGGUUUACGACCUCGAUGUUGGAUCCGGAUAUCCAAAUAGUGCAGCCGCUAUUAAAGGUUCGUUUGUUCAACGAUUAAAAUCCCACGUGAUCUGAGUUCAGACCGG